CUUUAUGUAAUUCUUAAAUUGUUCAUAAAACUACAUGCUUUCUUGUAUGUUUGCAUCAUCCAUAGAGAUAUAGGCUGGUGGUGUGCAAGAAUAGGUCUAAUAUAUAUCGAGAGAGUAUAUUGGAUAGAAUUAGAAACAUUGAAUUGGCAAAUUUUCAUCGAAUCAUUAAUUUUAUGAAAUUAGGGUUUUUAUAACUUCAAUUGGGGAUUCG
This 211-nucleotide long non-coding RNA is filed under the name Olea europaea (common olive). Its description in RNAcentral is "long non-coding RNA (OEUR_LNC010077)". Lineage: Eukaryota; Viridiplantae; Streptophyta; Magnoliopsida; Lamiales; Oleaceae. The record is from RNAcentral.